UGGGGAAUAUUGGACAAUGGGCGAAAGCCUGAUCCAGCAAUGCCGCGUGAGUGAUGAAGGCCUUAGGGUUGUAAAGCUCUUUUACCCGGGAUGAUAAUGACAGUACCGGGAGAAUAAGCUCCGGCUAACUCCGUGCCAGCAGCCGCGGUAAUACGGAGGGAGCUAGCGUUAUUCGGAAUUACUGGGCGUAAAGCGCACGUAGGCGGCUUUGUAAGUUAGAGGUGAAAGCCUGGAGCUCAACUCCAGAAUUGCCUUUAAGACUGCAUCGCUUGAAUCCAGGAGAGGUGAGUGGAAUUCCGAGUGUAGAGGUGAAAUUCGUAGAUAUUCGGAAGAACACCAGUGGCGAAGGCGGCUCACUGGACUGGUAUUGACGCUGAGGUGCGAAAGCGUGGGGAGCGAAACAGGAUUAGAUACCCUGGUAGUCCACGCCGUAAACGAUGAUAACUAGCUGUCGGGCUCUUAGAGCUUCGGUGGCGCAGCUAACG
Molecule: ribosomal RNA, 485 nt
Filed under: uncultured Pseudomonadota bacterium
Lineage: Bacteria; Pseudomonadati; Pseudomonadota
Description: bacterial SSU rRNA
Rfam family: Bacterial small subunit ribosomal RNA
Source: RNAcentral